AUGGCGAAGGAGGCCGGCGGCGAGGGGGCCAUGUCGGAGUCGGUGCUGCGCAAGGUGCUCGUCUCCUACUGCUACGUCGCGGUGUGGAUCUUCCUCUCCUUCACCGUCAUCGUCUACAACAAGUACAUCCUCGACCCCAAGAUGUACAACUGGCCCUUCCCCAUCUCGCUCACCAUGGUGCACAUGGCCUUCUGCUCCUCCCUCGCCGUCGCGCUCGUCCGCGUCUUCCGGGUCGUCGACCUCCCGUCCUCGCCCGCCAUGACCACGCAGCUCUACACCAGCUCCGUCCUCCCCAUCGGCGCGCUCUACUCGCUCUCCCUCUGGUUCUCCAACUCCGCCUACAUCUACCUCUCCGUCUCCUUCAUCCAGAUGCUCAAGGCGCUCAUGCCCGUCGCCGUCUACUCCAUCGGGGUGCUCUUCAAGAAGGAGACCUUCCGCUCCUCCGCCAUGCUCAACAUGCUCUCCAUCUCCUUCGGCGUCGCCAUCGCCGCCUACGGCGAGGCCCGCUUCGACCUCCGCGGGGUCGCGCUCCAGCUAGCCGCCGUCGCCUUCGAGGCCACCAGGCUCGUCCUCAUCCAGAUCCUCCUCACCUCCAAGGGGAUCUCGCUCAACCCCAUCACCUCGCUCUACUACGUCGCGCCCUGCUGCCUGGGGUUCCUCUUCCUGCCCUGGGUCUUCGUCGAGCUGCCCAGGCUGCGCGCCGUCGGCAUGUUCGAGCCCGACUUCUUCGUCUUCGGCACCAACUCCCUCUGCGCCUUCGCGCUCAACCUGGCCGUCUUCCUGCUCGUCGGCAAGACGUCGGCGCUCACCAUGAACGUGGCCGGCGUGGUCAAGGACUGGCUGCUCAUCGCCUUCUCCUGGUCCGUGAUCCGGGACACGGUGACCCCGAUCAACCUCUUCGGCUACGGGAUCGCCUUCCUGGGCGUGGGCUACUACAACCACGUGAAGCUGCAGGCGCUCAAGGCCAAGGAGGCGCAGAAGAAGGUGGCGCAGGCGGACGAGGAGGCCGGCUCGCUGCUGCAGGAGCGCGACUCACGGCGGCGAGCGCAAGACCGAGACCCAGUCAUCAUAGAGCCGCUCAUCUCAUCCGAUCCGAUCCGAUCCAACAACACCAACAGCACGCCCAAUUUGGUUGGUUCUCUCAGUCCGGCGUAG
This 1155-nucleotide ribosomal RNA is filed under the name Triticum aestivum (bread wheat). Its description in RNAcentral is "partial small subunit ribosomal RNA". Lineage: Eukaryota; Viridiplantae; Streptophyta; Magnoliopsida; Poales; Poaceae. The record is from RNAcentral.